RNAcentral lists this transfer RNA (63 nucleotides) under Epigonichthys cultellus. RNAcentral describes it as "tRNA-Ala". Lineage: Eukaryota; Metazoa; Chordata; Leptocardii; Amphioxiformes; Branchiostomatidae. The record is from RNAcentral.
AAAACCUUAAGUUAAAUAAACUGUCUGAUUUGCAAUCAGGUAAUGUGAUUGUCUCAGGUUUUA